Molecule: non-coding RNA, 135 nt
Organism: Triticum aestivum (bread wheat)
Lineage: Eukaryota; Viridiplantae; Streptophyta; Magnoliopsida; Poales; Poaceae
Source: Rfam
UAGGUACUCCCUCCGUCCGGAAAUACUUGUUAUCAAAAUGAAUAAAAGGAGAUGUAUCUAGACGUAUUUUAGUUCUAGAUAUAUGUCUUUUUAUCUAUUUAGAUGACAAGUAUUUUCGGACGGAGGGAGUAGUAA